AGUUUUUGGAUUAUGCUUCUCGUACUAAAGGUUUUCGUUUGUGGUGUCCUGAAGAUAAGAAAAUUAUUAUUAGUAGAGAUGUCAAGUUUAACGAAACUGCGAUACUUUGCCGAAAGGAGGAGUCGCGUGUCUCUUGUGAUACAGGUACAGGUGUAGGUGCAGAUGCAGAUGCAGAUGGAUCGAAGAAAACUGUAGAGGUGGAGUUUCAAAC
RNAcentral lists this long non-coding RNA (211 nucleotides) under Ananas comosus (pineapple). RNAcentral's name for it is "long non-coding RNA (ACOM_LNC021436)". Lineage: Eukaryota; Viridiplantae; Streptophyta; Magnoliopsida; Poales; Bromeliaceae. The record is from RNAcentral.